This 119-nucleotide ribosomal RNA is filed under the name Pteropus alecto (black flying fox). Lineage: Eukaryota; Metazoa; Chordata; Mammalia; Chiroptera; Pteropodidae. The record is from RNAcentral.
GUCUACGGUCAUGCCACCCUGAAUGUGCCCGAUCUCCUCUGAUCUUGGAAGCUAAGCAGGGUCAGGCCUGGUUAGUACUUGGAUGGGAGACCACCUAGGAAUACCAGGUGCUUUAGGCA